CGCAUCUGUGCAUGCAGCAUAUCAAUAAGCGGAGGAAAAGAAACUAACAAGGAUUCCCUCAGUAACGGCGAGUGAAGCGGGAAGAGCUCAAAUUUGAAAUCUUGAAAGGUCACCUUUCACGAAUUGUAGUUUAAAGAAGUGUUUUCUGUUACGAUCGUAAUAUAAGUUCUUUGGAAUAGGACAUCACAGAGGGUGAGAAUCCCGUCUAUGAUUGCGAUUUGUAGCUUUGUGAUACACUUUCAAAGAGUCGGGUUGUUUGGGAAUGCAGCCCAAAACGGGAGGUAAAUUUCUUCUAAGGCUAAAUAUUGGCGAGAGACCGAUAGCGAACAAGUACCGUGAGGGAAAGAUGAAAAGAACUUUGAAAAGAGAGUUAAAUAGUACGUGAAAUUGUCAAAAGGGAAGCGUUUAACACCAGUGUUGUUUUCUGAAAAUCAACCUCUGUUAGCUUUAUGCAUGUUUGUUUAGACCUAAUCAGCUAUCUUUCAUGUUCUAUUGUUUGCAGUGGUGCACUUUUCAGUUUACAGGUCAACAUCAGUUUUUUUUACCGUAAAAAAGUUAAAGAAAGGUAGCUCAUGGCUCCGGUCGUGAGUGUUAUAGUCUUUUUCCUAUGCGGUAGGAGAGACUGAGGUCUGCAGUGUAGGCUAUUUGGCUAGAUACUCAGGUGCUAUGUGAUACCAUUUCAUAAACAACUUGUUGAUUAUGUUUUGUCUAUUGCAUACUCGCUUGUACUAUCAUACCUACGCUUAGGAUGUUGACGAUCAGCUGAGCGCGACUCUAUACAUGACUCUGUGCAUAUCAAUAAGCGGAGGAAAAGUACUACCUACGCUUAGGAUGUUGACGAUCAGCUGAGCGCG
Molecule: ribosomal RNA, 854 nt
Filed under: uncultured Neocallimastigales
Lineage: Eukaryota; Fungi; Neocallimastigomycota; Neocallimastigomycetes; Neocallimastigales
Description: partial large subunit ribosomal RNA
Rfam family: Eukaryotic large subunit ribosomal RNA (bases 1-661)
Source: RNAcentral